This 468-nucleotide unclassified non-coding RNA is filed under the name uncultured Ascomycota. RNAcentral describes it as "sequence contains ITS2". The stretch from base 1 to 160 matches the Rfam family "5.8S ribosomal RNA". The record is from RNAcentral. Lineage: Eukaryota; Fungi; Ascomycota.
AACUUUCGACAAUGGAUCUCUUGGUUCUGGCAUCGAUGAAGAACGCAGCGAAAUGCGAUAAGUAAUGUGAAUUGCAGAACUCCGUGAAUCAUCAAAUUCUUGAACGUAAAUGGCGGUGCCCAACUCUUCGGGGCUGGACACCACAUCUGUGUGAGCGUCAUUUAAAUCACAAUAUCCCACAUACCCGCGUGGUGUGUGUGCGAUGAUAUGGCGGUUCCAGCUGCAGCCAUUGCAUCGGCUGUGUGGUUGAAUCCGUUCAAGUGAGCGAGGACGCGCGUGCCACACAAUGGCUCGUCUGCCUCCUGAUAUAGUAUUGGUCUAAGCCACACUAGCAUCAGGCGACCAGCGCGAAACCAUGGCGCGACCAACGCAUCCUUGAAUGCACUCCCUCUCUGGGGAGCCUUCAAAUAUGACCUCAUAUCAGGUGAGAAGACCCGCUGAAUUUAAGCAUAUCAAUAAGCGGAGGCU